UUAUGUGUGCUCCACUUCAGGUUCGCUAGUGUUCCCUGCGCUUUGGACUGGAAAUUUCUGUGUUCGUCAGCCUUGUGCCCAGUGCAGUUGUUACAUAGCACUGCAUGGGCAAACUGCCCUCUGUUCCUUCUUUAUUGCAGAGCCCCAUCGCCAAGAACUCUGAAGCAGAGGGGACGGAGAGCGGGUAGUGGAGCACCCAUAGGGGAACACAUCUUGAAGAACCACAAUUACUGCACAGGGGGAGUAACCAUUCCUCCUCCUCCUUCAAGUAGCGUCCCCAUGGGUGCUCUACGUGACUAUGGAGCAGUGCCAUCUAAGGUGGAAGAGGCUUCGGAGCUGAGUCCAAUACGGUGGAAAAUACAGUCGAGCUGAACACAGUAUCAGAGGUGGAGUCGUGAGUUAUUGCGUAGUGUUGGGAGAAUGUAUGGAUGGAUGGAUGCCCUAAUAGUGGCUCUACAGAUGUUGAUGAUUGGUAGGUUUCUGAAGAAGGCCAUGGAAGUGGCAACAGAGCUUGUAGAAUGAGCGUGAAAGUGAAGGUGGCUGAAUGUUACAAGACUGGUAACGAGUUAAUGCAGUCUGAUAUCCACUUGGAAAGUCUCUGGCUAGAGACUGCUGACCCUUUUGAUCUGUCUGCUAUCGAGAUGAAUAACUUGUUGAUCUUUCUGAAGGGCUUUGUUCCGUCUAGACAAAAUCCAGGGUAUGCAGCAGUGUGUCCUGGGAAUUCAGAUGCGAUUUGGGGUAGAAGACAGGCAAAUGAAUGGGUGAUAGAAAUGGAACUCAAAAGAGAACUUAGGUAAGAAUGUGAAGUGGGGCCGCAGUGUGACCUUGUCCUUAAAACACUGUGAAGGGGGAAUAUGCCAUUAGGGCCUCUAUUUCUCCAACCCAUUGCACUAUCAGGGAUGCCAUCUUCAUUGCAAAUGGAGCAGUGAGCAGGUAGCCAGAGGUUUAAAGGGCAGUCUUGUGAGGCAUUUGAGGACCAGACUGAGGUCCGAUACUAGGGUAGGGAACUGGACCGGAAGAUAAAAAAUUUCUCUUCCCAUCCCUCCAAGGAAUCUUGCUGUGGUCGGGUGGGUAAAGACGAAAUAGCCCUCUGUUGGGUGGUGAAAAGCCAUGAUGGCUGACAGGGAGACUCUUAUGGAGCUCAUCAAUAGACCCGUGGUUUUCAGAGCUAGGGUGUAGUCUAGUAUAUCCAGAAGCGAUGUAGUCAUUGGUGAAAGCUGCCCGUGGUCAGACCAACUGGCAAGCCACAUCCAUUUUUCAGAAUACAUGUAGUGAGUAGAUUGUUUCCUACUGUGUAAUAUCACUCUUUUUAUGUUCUCUGAGCAGGCUGCCUCGAAUCGCAUGAGCCAGCAACAACUAUGCUUUGAGACCAAGCAUCGUGACAUUGGGAUGAAAAAAAUCUUCCUGCACUCUUACGAGACGAGAUGGGGAGUGAUGCAGAGAGUGAUCAGAGGGCAAACAGAUAGCUGUAUCAGGUAGGCAGAAUAGAAGCUGAAGCCAGAUCUAAAAGAGCUGUCUAAAAGAGCCUCAUUUACAGGGAUGGAGGAGGACGCAUGACUGCUUCAUCUGUAGAUGAAGAGGAAAUGUUCCUGUAAGAGAAACCUCUUCACUGGCUUCCUGC
Long non-coding RNA from Chelonia mydas (Green sea turtle), 1621 nucleotides. RefSeq lists it as uncharacterized. The transcript is spliced from 3 exons. The record is from RefSeq and is a predicted model, not a curated record. Lineage: Eukaryota; Metazoa; Chordata; Testudines; Cheloniidae.